This 813-nucleotide ribosomal RNA is filed under the name Microbacterium sp. RNAcentral's name for it is "bacterial SSU rRNA". It matches the Rfam family "Bacterial small subunit ribosomal RNA", at positions 40 to 863 of the family's 1533-position model. The record is from RNAcentral. Lineage: Bacteria; Bacillati; Actinomycetota; Actinomycetes; Micrococcales; Microbacteriaceae.
CGGCGUGCUUAACACAUGCAAGUCGAACGAUGAAGCCCAGCUUGCUGGGUGGAUUAGUGGCGAACGGGUGAGUAACACGUGAGCAACCUGCCCCUGACUCUGGGAUAAGCGCUGGAAACGGCGUCUAAUACUGGAUAUGUCCCGUCACCGCAUGGUGUGCGGGUGGAAAGAUUUUUCGGUUGGGGAUGGGCUCGCGGCCUAUCAGCUUGUUGGUGAGGUAAUGGCUCACCAAGGCGUCGACGGGUAGCCGGCCUGAGAGGGUGACCGGCCACACUGGGACUGAGACACGGCCCAGACUCCUACGGGAGGCAGCAGUGGGGAAUAUUGCACAAUGGGCGGAAGCCUGAUGCAGCAACGCCGCGUGAGGGAUGACGGCCUUCGGGUUGUAAACCUCUUUUAGCAGGGAAGAAGCGAAAGUGACGGUACCUGCAGAAAAAGCACCGGCUAACUACGUGCCAGCAGCCGCGGUAAUACGUAGGGUGCAAGCGUUAUCCGGAAUUAUUGGGCGUAAAGAGCUCGUAGGCGGUCUGUCGCGUCUGCUGUGAAAUUCCGAGGCUCAACCUCGGGCUUGCAGUGGGUACGGGCAGACUAGAGUGCGGUAGGGGAGAUUGGAAUUCCUGGUGUAGCGGUGGAAUGCGCAGAUAUCAGGAGGAACACCGAUGGCGAAGGCAGAUCUCUGGGCCGUAACUGACGCUGAGGAGCGAAAGGGUGGGGAGCAAACAGGCUUAGAUACCCUGGUAGUCCACCCCGUAAACGUUGGGAACUAGUUGUGGGGUCCUUUCCACGGAUUCCGUGACGCAGCUAACGCAUUAA